AUACGGAGGAUCCGAGCGUUAUCCGGAUUUAUUGGGUUUAAAGGGUGCGCAGGCGGCCAUUUAAGUCAGCGGUUAAAUCGUGGGGCUCAACCCCAUUCUGCCGUUGAUACUGGGUGGCUUGAUUGCGGUCGAGGUUGGCGGAAUUCGUUGUGUAGCGGUGAAAUGCAUAGAUAUGACGAAGAACACCGAUUGCGUUGGCAGCUGACCAGACCGCAAAUGACGCUCAUGCACGAAAGUGCGGGGAUCGAACAGGAUUAGAUACCCUGGUAGUCCGCACAGUAAACGAUGAAUACUUGUUUUCGGCGAUAUAAUGUCGGAGGCAAAGCGAAAGCGAUAAGUAUUCCACCUGGGGAGUACGCCGGCAACGGUGAAACUCAAAUGAAUUGACGGGG
Molecule: ribosomal RNA, 392 nt
Filed under: uncultured bacterium
Lineage: Bacteria
Description: partial 16S ribosomal RNA
Rfam family: Bacterial small subunit ribosomal RNA
Source: RNAcentral